AAUUGGAGGGCAAGUCUGGUGCCAGCAGCCGCGGUAAUUCCAGCUCCAAUAGCGUAUAUUAAAGUUGUUGCAGUUAAAAAGCUCGUAGUUGAAUUUCGGGAUCAAUAUUUCGGUCAUGCCGUUGGUAUGCACUGUUAUCAUUGAUUUCUCACCUUCUAAAGAACCGUAAUGCCAUUAAUUUGGUGUUACGGGGAAUUAGGACUGUUACCUUGAAAAAAUUAGAGUGUUUAAAGCAGGCUCACGCUUGAAUACAUUAGCAUGGAAUAAUGAAAUAGGACAUCCGAUUCUAUUUUGUUGGUUUCUAGGAUCGAUGUAAUGAUUAAUAGGGAUAGUUGGGGGCAUUAGUAUUCAAUUGUCAGAGGUGAAAUUCUUGGAUUUAUUGAAGACUAACCACUGCGAAAGCAUUUGCCAAGGAUGUUUUCAUUAAUCAAGAACGAAAGUUAGGGGAUCGAAGACGAUCAGAUACCGUCGUAGUCUUAACCAUAAACUAUGCCGACUAGGGAUCGGAUGAUGUUAAUUUUUUAAUGACUCAUUCGGCGCCUUACGGGAAACCAAAGUGU
This 560-nucleotide ribosomal RNA is filed under the name uncultured Glomus. RNAcentral's name for it is "SSU rRNA". It matches the Rfam family "Eukaryotic small subunit ribosomal RNA", at positions 546 to 1106 of the family's 1831-position model. Lineage: Eukaryota; Fungi; Glomeromycota; Glomeromycetes; Glomerales; Glomeraceae. The record is from RNAcentral.